AUUGAACGCUGGCGGCAGGCCUAACACACGCAAGUCGAGCGGAUGAAGGGAGCUUGCUCCUGGAUUCAGCGGCGGACGGGUGAGUAAUGCCUAGGAAUCUGCCUGGUAGUGGGGGAUAACGUCCGGAAACGGGCGCUAAUACCGCAUACGUCCUGAGGGAGAAAGUGGGGGAUCUUCGGACCUCACGCUAUCAGAUGAGCCUAGGUCGGAUUAGCUAGUUGGUGGGGUAAAGGCCUACCAAGGCGACGAUCCGUAACUGGUCUGAGAGGAUGAUCAGUCACACUGGAACUGAGACACGGUCCAGACUCCUACGGGAGGCAGCAGUGGGGAAUAUUGGACAAUGGGCGAAAGCCUGAUCCAGCCAUGCCGCGUGUGUGAAGAAGGUCUUCGGAUUGUAAAGCACUUUAAGUUGGGAGGAAGGGCAGUAAGUUAAUACCUUGCUGUUUUGGCGUUACCAACAGAAUAAGCACCGGCUAACUUCGUG
This 484-nucleotide ribosomal RNA is filed under the name uncultured bacterium. RNAcentral describes it as "partial 16S ribosomal RNA". It matches the Rfam family "Bacterial small subunit ribosomal RNA", at positions 30 to 507 of the family's 1533-position model. The record is from RNAcentral.